Long non-coding RNA from Brassica napus (rape), 1938 nucleotides. RefSeq lists it as uncharacterized. NCBI's taxonomy places the organism in Eukaryota, Viridiplantae, Streptophyta, Magnoliopsida, Brassicales, Brassicaceae. The record is from RefSeq and is a predicted model, not a curated record. The transcript is spliced from 2 exons.
UUAUUUAAUUUUAUAAUUAAAAAAACUAAACCAUCACAUUAAUUGUAUAUUUUUUAAAAAUAUACUUUUCUCUUAUAUUGUUAUACUUUUUUUAAACGACUAUAAAUUACUAAUAUUGUUAAAAGUCUCACAUUAAUAAAUUGAUGAUCAAUGGUUUAAAUUUUUUGUUAUAACAAGAUACAAAUGAUUAUGAAAUCAUAUGAAUAAGAAGUUUCAUUAAAUAGAUAUUCAUAUUAAAAAAUAUUUAUAAUAUUAUUAAAAUUAAAAUAUAUACCAUAUAAAAUACAUAACUAUGUUAAUUUCAAAAUUUUCAUUGCAAAAGUAUUGAGACCUUAAUAUUUUAAUUUUGAAAUUUGUAUUAAAUUUUUAGAAAUGACUAUAAAUUACUAAAAUUAGUAAAAAGCUCACACUAAAAUCUUUGUGAUUAAUGGUUAAUUUUUCGGUACAACAGAUAUACAUAUGCUAAUAAAAUAAUUUGAGUAGAAAGCAUCAAUUAAUAAAUACCCAUUUUAUGUAUUUUAAAUAAUUAUGACGAAUAUAAGGAUUAUAGUAUAAAAUAUAUAUCUUUUUAAAGUUAAAAGUUUGAUUUUGGAUAAAAACAUUUUUAUUUCAAGGAUAAAAACACUUUUAAACUUCAAAUAGAUUUUUUUGGAUGCUCUUAUAGCCAAUCAAGUGAAAAUGGUUUUUCUAUUUGGUUUUUGUUGUUCGGUUUGUUUCAAAUGAUCAGAUCCAUAUAUUAUAGGUUAUAGGCACACUCAGAUACUCUAAUCCAGAGUUAUACAUUCAGUAGAAUUAAUGAGUGGCAGAUCUAGAAUUUAUUUUGACUGGAGGCAUAAUAUUUAAUACAUAUGAAAUAAAAAUGGUUUUAAUUAUAUGACUACAGAAGUUUCUGGUUUGACUAAAAAUUCAUUAAUGCUUCUACACUAGGAGGUCUGAGUUUCAAUCUUCAGAAAAAGCAGAAUUAUGUGAAUUAAUAGAGAAAAUGCUUACAAGAGAUCUGCAGCUGUAAAAUCAUAUGUAAUAUUUUUCAUAGUUUGUAAUAGCACGAUUAUCGGCAUUAAAAUGGUUUUAACUAUAAUGUUUAUACAUUAUUUUAAAAUAUUUAAAAGAACCAUAAAUAACUAUGACCACACAGUUUAUUGAGAAAUAAAUUGCAUUCUUAAAAACAGCAACUCAACAUAAAAUUAAAAAAUAUUAAGUAAAAAUUGUAAAAAAUGGUAAAAAUACCAGGAAUAUGUAAAUAUUUCAUUUAAUAAUUGGGGAGAUAGAAACAGUUUUUUUUUUGUUUCUCGUAAUAAAAUAUAAAUAUGCAAGAUGAAGAAAUAGAAAAGGACUCUACAAAUGAUAAUUAUUUAUUUCUCGGGAAUAAAAAACUCUUAAAUCGUGUGAGAGAUGAAAAUGUAGGGUAUAAUUAUGUAUGCUAAAAAUAAAAAAUAGUUAUGCAAAAAUAAACAAGGACUUAUUUGUGUAAUAGCCAUAUUUGGAAGAAAAAUUAGAUGAGUGACAAUAAUGUUGGACGGAGGCUGAGGAUGUUUUGGUGGUGAGAGACGCACUAAACGGAACGCUGAAGAUGUCUGCUAGCCGCCAGUGGUGGAAGAAUCCGACGAGCGAUUACCGGUGACAUCAUCUUCUUCGCCAUGUUCCUUCUUCCACGCCGGAGGUCAAUGAUAAAGCUUCACUGGCGACGUUUAUGUCAUCUUUGUCUCAAGUCUCACCUCGUCGUCAUUGGUUCAUCUCCGACCAGCAGUACAUGGGCACAAAAUGAAUCUCGAGCAACAAUGGCCAAUUUUGACUUUUUUGCACAUUUACUCUUUCAGAUUUUAUAUAAUUUUGUUUUGGAUACAUAGUGUACACAUGUACACUUUGAUGAUAAUGUACACAUGUACACUCUGAUGGAUACAUCGGUUAAGGUGGACGUAUUUAAAAAAAAAGGCUAUU